This 619-nucleotide ribosomal RNA is filed under the name Burkholderiales bacterium. Its description in RNAcentral is "bacterial SSU rRNA". It matches the Rfam family "Bacterial small subunit ribosomal RNA", at positions 1 to 617 of the family's 1533-position model. Lineage: Bacteria; Pseudomonadati; Pseudomonadota; Betaproteobacteria; Burkholderiales. The record is from RNAcentral.
GAGUAUAAAUUUUUGAUCCUGGCUCAGAUUGAACGCUGGCGGAAUGCUUUACACAUGCAAGUCGAGCGGCAGCGCGGGGCAACCUGGCGGCGAGCGGCGAACGGGUGAGUAACACAUCGGAACGUGCCCAGACGUGGGGGAUAGCCCGGCGAAAGCCGGAUUAAUACCGCAUGUGAUCUGAGGAUGAAAGUGGGGGACCGCAAGGCCUCACGCGUUUGGAGCGGCCGAUGGCAGAUUAGGUAGUUGGUGGGGUAAAGGCUUACCAAGCCUGCGAUCUGUAGCUGGUCUGAGAGGAUGAUCAGCCACACUGGGACUGAGACACGGCCCAGACUCCUACGGGAGGCAGCAGUGGGGAAUUUUGGACAAUGGGCGCAAGCCUGAUCCAGCCAUUCCGCGUGCAGGACGAAGGCCUUCGGGUUGUAAACUGCUUUUGUACGGAACGAAAGGGCUCUCUCUAAUACAGGGGGCAUAUGACGGUACCGUAAGAAUAAGCACCGGCUAACUACGUGCCAGCAGCCGCGGUAAUACGUAGGGUGCAAGCGUUAAUCGGAAUUACUGGGCGUAAAGCGUGCGCAGGCGGUUUUGUAAGACAGAGGUGAAAUCCCCGGGCUCAACCUGG